CUAAUACCGGAUAUUAUGAGAUUCUCGCAUGGGAAACUUAUGAAAGCUAUAUGCGCCAAGAGAGAGCCUUGCGUUCCAUUAGCUAGUUGGUGGGGUAACGGCCCACCAAGGCGACGAUGGAUAGCCGGCCUGAGAGGGUGAACGGCCACAAGGGGACUGAGACACGGCCCUUACUCCUACGGGAGGCAGCAGUGGGGAAUAUUGGACAAUGGGCCACAAGCCUGAUCCAGCAAUUCUGUGUGCACGAUGAAGGUCUUCGGAUUGUAAAGUGCUUUCAGUUGGGAAGAAGAAAGUGACGGUACCAACAGAAGAAGCGACGGCUAAAUACGUGCCAGCAGCCGCGGUAAUACGUAUGUCGCAAGCGUUAUCCGGAUUUAUUGGGCGUAAAGCGCGUCUAGGCGGAAAAAUAAGUCUGAUGUUAAAAUGCGGGGCUCAACUCCGUAUUGCGUUGGAAACUGUUUUUCUAGAGUACUGGAGAGGUGGGCGGAACUACAAGUGUAGAGGUGAAAUUCGUAGAUAUUUGUAGGAAUGCCGAUGGAGAAGUCAGCUCACUGGACAGAUACUGACGCUAAAGCGCGAAAGCGUGGGGAGCAAAC
Molecule: ribosomal RNA, 596 nt
Filed under: uncultured bacterium
Lineage: Bacteria
Description: bacterial SSU rRNA
Rfam family: Bacterial small subunit ribosomal RNA
Source: RNAcentral